AAAUUCAACAACCAAAUUGAGCUUUUCCGAUCACAACACACACAUAUACACAUUAACCAAUGCUAUCACUUAUUUAAAACAAACCUCAUGUUCAAAGAAAUUGCAACCAUCUUCUCCAUCAAUUGCUCACAAAAUUUAACAAUUAGACCAACACCAACCCUUUUCUCAAAAACCCAAAGAAAAAAAAAAUCCCAAUUGUCGAUACAUCACAAAUUUAAUUUACAAGAAAACAGAGUACAUGCGUAAUUAAAUUAUAGUAGUAUGCACAAAUCCUCGUACACUGAGAUGAGAUUUAAAGCUUAGAAAAAGGGAUUUUUUUUUUUUGAAGGAACGAUUUAUCUGGCUAAAAGAAACUAAUUCUCCACAACGCAAGCAUAACCGGAAUUAGAGACCUCUAAUCAACUAUGUAUCUUCACACUAAAACAAUCAAACGCCCAGCCAAAGCACCAGAAAACAACCAAACACAACGAAAUUAAAACCAAAAUUAAACGC
This 492-nucleotide unclassified non-coding RNA is filed under the name Hevea brasiliensis (rubber tree). Lineage: Eukaryota; Viridiplantae; Streptophyta; Magnoliopsida; Malpighiales; Euphorbiaceae. The record is from RNAcentral.